UCAGUGGGCGAACGGGUGAGUAACACGUGAGCAACCUGCCCCGGACUCUGGGAUAAGCGCUGGAAACGGCGUCUAAUACUGGAUACGAGCUGCAACCGCAUGGUUAGCAGUUGGAAAGAAUUUCGGUCUGGGAUGGGCUCGCGGCCUAUCAGCUUGUUGGUGAGGUAAUGGCUCACCAAGGCGUCGACGGGUAGCCGGCCUGAGAGGGUGACCGGCCACACUGGGACUGAGACACGGCCCAGACUCCUACGGGAGGCAGCAGUGGGGAAUAUUGCACAAUGGGCGGAAGCCUGAUGCAGCAACGCCGCGUGAGGGACGACGGCCUUCGGGUUGUAAACCUCUUUUAGCAAGGAAGAAGCGAAAGUGACGGUACUUGCAGAAAAAGCGCCGGCUAACUACGUGCCAGCAGCCGCGGUAAUACGUAGGGCGCAAGCGUUAUCCGGAAUUAUUGGGCGUAAAGAGCUCGUAGGCGGUUUGUCGCGUCUGCUGUGAAAUCCCGAGGCUCAACCUCGGGUCUGCAGUGGGUACGGGCAGACUAGAGUGCGGUAGGGGAGAUUGGAAUUCCUGGUGUAGCGGUGGAAUGCGCAGAUAUCAGGAGGAACACCGAUGGCGAAGGCAGAUCUCUGGGCCGUAACUGACGCUGAGGAGCGAAAGGGUGGGGAGCAAACAGGCUUAGAUACCCUGGUAGUCCACCCCGUAAACGUUGGGAACUAGUUGUGGGGUCCAUUCCACGGAUUCCGUGACGCAGCUAACGCAUUAAGUUCCCCGCCUGGGGAGUACGGCCGCAAGGCUAAAACUCAAAGGAAUUGACGGGGACCCGCACAAGCGGCGGAGCAUGCGGAUUAAUUCGAUGCAACGCGAAGAACCUUACCAAGGCUUGACAUACACGAGAACGCUGCAGAAAUGUAGAACUCUUUGGACACUCGUGAACAGGUGGUGCAUGGUGUCGUCAG
This 953-nucleotide ribosomal RNA is filed under the name Microbacterium flavescens. RNAcentral's name for it is "bacterial SSU rRNA". It matches the Rfam family "Bacterial small subunit ribosomal RNA", at positions 91 to 1058 of the family's 1533-position model. The record is from RNAcentral. Lineage: Bacteria; Bacillati; Actinomycetota; Actinomycetes; Micrococcales; Microbacteriaceae.